AUUCCAGCUCCAAUAGCGUAUAUUAAAGUUGUUGCAGUUAAAAAGCUCGUAGUUGAAUUUCGGGGUUCUACCGUUGGUCGGGCUUUGUCUGUACUGGCGUGUAGAAUUUCUACCUUCUGGGGAACCAUCAUGUUAUUAAUUUAACGUGGUGGGAAACCAGGACCUUUACCUUGAAAAAAUUAGAGUGUUCAAAGCAGGCUUAUGUCUGAAUACAUUAGCAUGGAAUAAUAGAAUAGGACGGUGGUCCUGUUUUGUUGGUUUCUGAAUCACCGUAAUGAUUAAUAGGGAUAGUUGGGGGCAUUAGUAUUCAAUUGUCAGAGGUGAAAUUCUUGGAUUUAUUGAAGACUAACUUCUGCGAAAGCAUUUGCCAAGGAUGUUUUCAUUAAUCAAGAACGAAAGUUAGGGGAUCGAAGACGAUCAGAUACCGUCGUAGUCUUAACCAUAAACUAUGCCGACUAGGGAUCGGACGA
Molecule: ribosomal RNA, 470 nt
Filed under: Racocetra alborosea
Lineage: Eukaryota; Fungi; Glomeromycota; Glomeromycetes; Diversisporales; Gigasporaceae
Description: SSU rRNA
Rfam family: Eukaryotic small subunit ribosomal RNA
Source: RNAcentral